RNAcentral lists this ribosomal RNA (497 nucleotides) under Arabidopsis arenosa. Lineage: Eukaryota; Viridiplantae; Streptophyta; Magnoliopsida; Brassicales; Brassicaceae. The record is from RNAcentral.
CGUGAUUUGGGCUAUAUUACGGACCCAAAAUUACUUGUUUCAGCAUUGUUUUCGAAUAUUUUUCAUGCAUCAAAGCUCGUUAAGACUAGAUUGGGUAUCCCUACAUAGCGGGUGGGACCCACGGCGAACGGUUCAUCAAGACUUCAAAAACGAAUAUAUACGAUUGCAUUGCAUGUACUAACGGAUGCGAUCAUACCAGCACUAAUGCACCGGAUCCCAUCAGAACUCCGCAGUUAAGCGUUCUUGGGCGAGAGUAGUACUAGGAUGGGUGACCUCCCGGGAAGUCCUCGUGUUGCAUCCCUCUUUUAUGUUUAACCUUUUUUUUUUUGGUUAAAACUUUAUGACUCCAUAACUUCUAUACCGUGAGGCCAAACUUGGCAUGUGAUACCUUUUCGGAAAGCCCAAAGACAGCCCUCCGACGAAAGAAGCAGGACAAUGGAACUUUUCCAUUGACUUUUUGUGGACCCCAAAUUUUGACCUUUAACUACUUUUUCGGG